Oncorhynchus gorbuscha (pink salmon) is the source of this 604-nucleotide long non-coding RNA. RefSeq lists it as uncharacterized. NCBI's taxonomy places the organism in Eukaryota, Metazoa, Chordata, Actinopteri, Salmoniformes, Salmonidae. The transcript is spliced from 3 exons. The record is from RefSeq and is a predicted model, not a curated record.
CUGUAACUUGGGACGCAAAUGAUUGUGACAUAUCAUCUAAACACGCAUUACACUACAACAUUGUUAAAUAUUAGAUUCUGAUUGGCUUGAAGUGCAUUCUACAUUUGGGUAUGCUUUAAUAUAUCAGUGUGACAGAUUCACUUUUACCGACCGUGUCUUAGGUAAACCUACAGUCUUGCGCUUUUAUCUGCUCAACGACCGCAGAGUGAAGGAAAAGCAGCCAUUCCUCAUGAAGCUGGUUGAGAGAAUGCCAAGAGGAUGCAAAGCUGUCAUCGAGGCAAAGGGCCAUUUGACCAGAGUGGAUUCCUUAGAAUCUAGAUCUCCUUCCAUGGCUGGGGUGGGUACAUGAAGGCAGCGUUCUGGAUCUGGUCGUUAAUGUCCUCGUCCUCGUUGAAGGGGAAUGUCCCGCUGAGGCUGACGUAAACGAUGACCCCCACAGACCACAUGUCCAGGGAGCGGUUGUAGCCCUUACUACGCAGCACCUCUGGGGCCAGGUAGGCCGGAGUACCCACCACCGAACGCCUGAACGACUUCUCACCGAUGAUACGGGCAAAGCCAAAGUCACACAGUUUAACCUGCCGGGACACACAACACAAUGCUACAU